GAUGAACGCUGGCGGCGUGCCUAAUACAUGCAAGUCGAGCGAACAGACGAGGAGCUUGCUCCUCUGACGUUAGCGGAGGACGGGUGAGUAACACGUGGAUAACCUACCUAUAAGACUGGGAUAACUUCGGGAAACCGGAGCUAAUACCGGAUAAUAUAUUGAACCGCAUGGUUCAAUAGUGAAAGACGGCUUUGCUGUCACUUAUAGAUGGAUCCGCGCCGCAUUAGCUAGUUGGUAAGGUAACGGCUUACCAAGGCAACGAUGCGUAGCCGACCUGAGAGGGGGAUCGGCCGCACUGGAAGUGAGACACGGUCCAGACGCCUGCGGGAGGCAGCAGUAGGGAAUCGUCCGCAAAGGGCGAAAGCCUGACGGAGCAACGCCGCGUGAGUGAUGAAGGUCUUCGGAUCGUAAAACUCUGUUAUUAGUGAAGAACAAAUGUGUAAGUAACUAUGCACGUCUUGACGGUACCUAAUCAGAAAGCCACGGCUAACUACGUG
This 497-nucleotide ribosomal RNA is filed under the name uncultured bacterium. RNAcentral describes it as "partial 16S ribosomal RNA". It matches the Rfam family "Bacterial small subunit ribosomal RNA", at positions 28 to 507 of the family's 1533-position model. The record is from RNAcentral.